This 265-nucleotide signal recognition particle RNA is filed under the name Candidatus Latescibacterota bacterium. Its description in RNAcentral is "Latescibacterota bacterium Bacterial large signal recognition particle RNA". It matches the Rfam family "Bacterial large signal recognition particle RNA". From Rfam's summary of the family: The signal recognition particle (SRP) is a universally conserved ribonucleoprotein involved in the co-translational targeting of proteins to membranes. Archaeal SRP consists of a 7S RNA and homologues of the eukaryotic SRP19 and SRP54 proteins. In most bacteria, the SRP consists of a 4.5S RNA and the Ffh protein (a homologue of the eukaryotic SRP54 protein). The record is from Rfam by way of RNAcentral. Lineage: Bacteria; Pseudomonadati; Candidatus Latescibacterota.
UCGUGCUAGAUGGAGGGUUGGCGGUCCUCUGUAACCCGAAACCCGCCCACGCGGGAUUGAUAAGGCACAAUGAGUAUUUUGCAAAAGGAUAAGCUUUAAUUAAGAGCGAUGUUGAAGAUCGGGUCCGGCAAUAUUCUUACCUAUAAACCCCGUCAGAAUCGGAAGAUAGCAACGGUAAGUAGUGUUAAGAGUAGUUGGCGGGAAACCUGGUUGGAGUCGCGAUUAAUUACAAGCCCCUUGUGUAAUCUGCAAAGGUGUUGCACGA